UACGGAUGGUGCAAGCGUUAAUCGGAAUUACUGGGCGUAAAGCGCGCGUAGGUGGCACACCAAGUUAGAUGUGAAAUCCCAGGGCUUAACCUUGGAACUGCAUCUAAAACUGGUGAGCUAGAGUAUUAGAGAGGAAAGUAGAAUUCUUAGUGUAGCGGUGGAAUGCGUAGAUAUUAAGAGGAAUACCAAUGGCGAAGGCAACUUUCUGGAUAAAUACUGACACUGAGGUGCGAAAGCGUGGGGAGCAAACAGG
This 253-nucleotide ribosomal RNA is filed under the name uncultured bacterium. RNAcentral's name for it is "partial 16S ribosomal RNA". It matches the Rfam family "Bacterial small subunit ribosomal RNA", at positions 524 to 776 of the family's 1533-position model. The record is from RNAcentral.